CCUACGGGUGGCAGCAGUGAGGAAUAUUGCACAAUGGGGGCAACCCUGAUGCAGCAACGCCGCGUGAGUGAAGAAGUCUUUCGGUAUGUAAAACUGUAUCAGCAGGGAAGAGAAUGACGGUACGUGACUCAGAAGCACCGGCUCACUACGUGCCAGCAGCCGCGGUAAUGCGUAGGGGGCGACCGUUAUCCGGAUUUACUGGGUGUAAAGGGAGCGUAGACGGUUCUGCAGGUCUGAAGUGAAAGGCCGGGGCUUAACCUCGGAACGGCUUUGGAAACUGUGGAACUGGAGUGCUGGUGAGGUAGGCGGAAUGCCUGGUGUAGCGGUGAAAUGCGUAGAUAUGAGGAGGAACACCGGUGGCGAAGGCGGCUUGCUGGACAGUAACUGACGUUUAGGCUCGAAAGCGUGGGGAGCAAACAGGAUUAGAUACCCGAGUAGUC
This 440-nucleotide ribosomal RNA is filed under the name uncultured bacterium. Its description in RNAcentral is "partial 16S ribosomal RNA". It matches the Rfam family "Bacterial small subunit ribosomal RNA", at positions 338 to 795 of the family's 1533-position model. The record is from RNAcentral.